This is a long non-coding RNA of Symsagittifera roscoffensis, 854 nucleotides long. RefSeq lists it as uncharacterized. The transcript is spliced from 3 exons. The record is from RefSeq and is a predicted model, not a curated record. NCBI's taxonomy places the organism in Eukaryota, Metazoa, Xenacoelomorpha, Acoela, Convolutidae.
UUAGGUAUCAUGAAUGUUUUCUAUUCUUUGACUGUAGAACUAAUUGAAGAGUUUCUCAUCGCUGUUGAAGCUAAUACGAAUUCAUUUAUUGGUCACAAAAUGCCAAUAUGCGAUCCUGGUUUGAAAUUUUUUGUUGGAUCUGUAAAAAUUGAGCCAUGUUUCAAAUCUCAAGAGCUAUUUCACUCAAGAAAACGAGCCAAUAUUCCGACUCUGAAUAAGCUUAAGCGGCUUACAACGGAUAACUCUAGUAGUCUAGGCUCGUUCCGAGAAGCAGAGAUUGUGAACUCAUUCCAGGAAUUGACGGCGACGACCGGGAGAAAAGUGUUUCUGUGUGAAGUGUGCAACUUCAAAGCUAAUUCAAAAGCGGCUGUUAAACGACAUGUGUGGAUUACACAUAGUGUCAAUUGCCCCAGGUAUUUUUGUUCGAUGUGUUCGGCGAAGAUCAAGGAAAAGGGCAAUCUGAAAGUGCACUACUUGAAAGUGCACAAAUUGAGUGAUAGUAUGGCUACUGUUGCUGUGUCCGAAAGUAGAAUGACCACAGACGCUGAAACAGAAGCGAGGACAAGUUCAACUGCGAUAUGAAAUGAGUUAGAUUUUCAUCUCAAAGAUCCUUAGAAAGCAGAGUUUUAGCAGAAUAGCAAUUCGAACCCCAAUCGGAUGUCAUUCUGAUUCUGUCAACCGAAUGACUCCUGCAUAAACUAGACAAACGAACGUCUUUCCCUCUCAACUAGAAGUAGUAAAAUGAGGCAGAUGUGAAUCUACUCUACAUAAGAUGAACUAAAAAUUAAUUCAAAUCUGAACUUUGAAAUUCCUAUUUAGUAUUUUGCCAGAUUUUUUAUUAGUUUAUUAAUCAA